UGUACGACGAACUUGAACGACCCAGUCGACGAUUUCAACGUACAAAGUUCCUCCGAGAGUGACACAGACCGACGAACGAUCGCACACAGACCGACAGCGACCACUCAGACAGUCCAGACAUCAGACAUCAGACUGAACACAACCAACAAGCAUUGAACACUGCCCUUCCACCAAGUUCGACACGCAGACACAGAACCGCUCCAACCGACACAGAACCGCUCCAACCGACACAGAACCGUUCCAACCGACGCACUACUGUUUCUUGUGUCUACAGCAUCCACUGCAUAAUUAAGUCAUACCAGCAACA
RNAcentral lists this unclassified non-coding RNA (307 nucleotides) under Yarrowia lipolytica. The record is from RNAcentral. Lineage: Eukaryota; Fungi; Ascomycota; Dipodascomycetes; Dipodascales.